Molecule: ribosomal RNA, 496 nt
Filed under: uncultured bacterium
Lineage: Bacteria
Description: partial 16S ribosomal RNA
Rfam family: Bacterial small subunit ribosomal RNA
Source: RNAcentral
AUGAACGCUGGCGGCGUGCCUAAUCCAUGCAGGUCGAGCGAACGGACGAGAAGCUUGCUUUUCUGAUGUUAGCGGCGGACGGGUGAGUAACACGUGGAUAACCUACCUAUAAGACUGGGAUAACUUCGGGAAACCGGAGCUAAUACCGGAUACUAUUUUGAACCGCAUGGUUCAAAAGUGUAAGACGGUCUUGCUGUCACUUAUAGAUGGAUCCGCGCUGCAUUAGCUAGUUGGUAAGGUAACGGCUUACCAAGGCAACGAUGCAUAGCCGACCUGAGAGGGUGAUCGGCCACACUGGAACUGAGUCACGGUCCAGACUCCUACGGGAGGCAGCAGUAGGGAAUCUUCCGCAAUGGGCGAAAGCCUGACGGAGCAACGCCGCGUGAGUGAUGAAGGUCUUCGGAUCGUAAAACUCUGUUAUUAGGGAAGAACAUAUGUGUAAGUAACUGUGCACAUCUUGACGGUACCUAAUCAGAAAGCCACGGCUAACUACGUG